GAAUGAGUAUAUAUAACAAUACAUGCAACGGCUAUAACAUAUGCUAGCUAAGAUUUCUCAGUCCCGUUAGCAGCCACCCAUGAUUUCAGCAGCUUUGAAUCACAAGAAAGAUAUUAAGCAGAUAUGUGCCAGCUAUUUGAUUUUGAAGAGCUGAAAUAAAGGAGAGAAACUCUACCCACAAUCAACUGUGUUAAACCGGAACAAAAGGAGAUAAAUAAAGAUAAUACUCAAAAGCUUCAGUAGGACUCCUUUUCAAAAUAGACUACUAACUAAUGU
RNAcentral lists this long non-coding RNA (276 nucleotides) under Panax ginseng (ginseng). RNAcentral's name for it is "long non-coding RNA (PGIN_LNC011733)". The record is from RNAcentral. Lineage: Eukaryota; Viridiplantae; Streptophyta; Magnoliopsida; Apiales; Araliaceae.